This is a long non-coding RNA of Eriocheir sinensis (Chinese mitten crab), 2505 nucleotides long. RefSeq lists it as uncharacterized. The record is from RefSeq and is a predicted model, not a curated record. The transcript is spliced from 2 exons. Lineage: Eukaryota; Metazoa; Arthropoda; Malacostraca; Decapoda; Varunidae.
CUCUCUCCUAAUCUUACCUUACGGUGCUAUAUUAAGGGAAAUCUACCUUAAAUUUACCUUAGGGAGCCUCGGGAAGGGUUAAUUUACCUUAGAAAUGCCUUUAAUUAAUAAUAUCAUCCAAGGUACAGAGGAGGAAGAGGAGGAAGGUGGUCACUGUUCAGCAAAUGGCUGUUUGACAGAUCCUUCAUAUUUUCGUGUUCUUCGUCUGUUUUGCUCUGAAGAAGGAAGGAAGGCCAUCUCAGAAGACCCAAGACCCAGUCACCCCAGUCCAAGGAAAGGUCGCAAGAGGUCAAGAAGGUCACAGUACGAAGGAAAGGGAAGGGAAGGGAUAGGGAAGGAAAGGGAAGGAAGGAAAGGAAGGGAAGGAAAGGAAAGGGAUAGGAGAGGGAAGGAAAGAGAAGGGAAAGGAAGGAAAGGAAAGAGAAGGAUAAGGAAAGGAAGGAUAGAGAAGGGAAAGGAAGGGAAGGGAAGGAAGGAGAGAGAAGGGAAGGAAAGGAAGGGAAGGAAAGGAAAGGAAAGGAAGGGAAGGAAAGGAAAGGAAAGGAAAGAGAAGGGAAGGAAUGGAAAGGAAUCAACAGAGAAGUACAUAUAUAGUUCAUCUUACAGUCACAUACAGUUAGAUGCAUACAGUUACACUCACAUAAAUUUACAUACAGUUUAGACGGGGCUUCGUGGUGCAGUGGUUAGCACACUCAGCUCACAACCUUUAGAGCCUGGGUUCGAUUCCCGGACGGAGUGGACAAAAUUGGGCAGCUUUUCCAAUACCCUACGUCCCUGUCCACCCAGCAGUGUACCAGGUAUUAAUCGGGGGUUGUGUCCCGUCUCCUGCGAUCUGUUCCCUUCUCCUAUAAUUCCUUCCCCUUCUGUCUCUCUCCGGCAUAUGACCACAGAUGUUGCGCAGACUUAACCAAACUUUCCAACUUUUUAUGACCUUCUCCAUUAUAUCCGAAAUCCAUAAUAAAUUGGUCUGUUAUAUCUAGGGUUUACUGUAUAUGUAUAUGGUUAAGCUGUUGUAGUUACCAGAAGCAGGUGGUUCAAAAACUAUUCUCGGUGCGUCCCCGUGGAUUUCUCACCCUUUGACCUUGUCCGUUAUAUCCGAAAUCCAUUAUGAUCGGGUCCGUUAUAUCCAGGGUUUACUGUAUUAUGUAUAUAGUUAACCCGGUAGCAGCGACGGGCCAAAUUUGUGGCUUUACCGUGUAGCAGCGACAGGCCAAAUUUGUGCCAUGAUAUAACCCCAAAAAAAUAGAUGAUACAUAAUCUGAUCAUAAAUGCUUUGAUAUAUAUUAUGAAAUGGUUUGUGUGAGGGGUGAAUUUUUUUCUCAUUUUUCUCGCUUAGAGGGACCAUUAAGAAACAUGUGAUCCCCGCUGCUACCGGGUUAAGCUGUUGUAGUUACCAGAAACGGGUGGUUCAAAAACUAUUCUUGGUUGGUCCCUGUGGAUUUCUGACCCUCUGACCUUGUCCGUUAUAUCCGAAAUCCAUUAUAAGCAGGUCCGUUAUAUCCAGGGUUUACUGUAUAGUUGAGGUCAAUUCGCCUACAGUUCAGAUAGUUAGUUUUAUACAGUUUAGAGCUAGCUUUCUUUCUCUCUGUUAAGAUAAUAUUGCCUGUGUUAUAGUUCAGCUUACUCUCACUAGGUAGGCAUAUACAUAGGCCUAUACAGUUUGCUACAUACUGAUUAGAGAGCUUUCCCUCUCUCUGUUAAGAUAAUAUUGCCUUUGUUAUAGAGUAUAUAUAACAUACAGUCUCAUAUGGUUAGCUAUGUACAUAGUUGAGUUUAUUUUGUUUGUAUCUUCUUACCUUACCUCUCUCUCUCUGGUCAUCUCUUUCUGUCAUUCCAUAGUUAGUAGGUUAGUUAAGACACUAUCUUGCCUUACCUUACCUUGCCUUGCCUUGCCUUAAUAUCUCCUCUCUCUCUCUGGUCAUCUCUUUCUGUCAUCCCAUAGUUAGUUAGUAGGUUAGUUGAGACACUAUUACUAUUUAAUAUUAUUACCUUGCCUCUCUCUCUCCCCCUUAUGAUACCUUUCUCUCUUUCUUUUAUUGGUAAAUUUCUUCUGUUCUUUCUUUCAUUAUUUGUUUUCCUUCUCUCAUCUGUUUCCUUCCCUUACCUCCUCUCUCUUUUGCUUCUCAUUUCGUUCUCUCUCUCUCUCUCUCUCAUAUGAAUAUAGCACAAGCAUCACAAAUUAACUUUUUAUUAAUAGAAAAACACACAUACAUGCAUAUACAUACACAUAGUAACAUUGAUAGGGUUAUGUGGGUGCUAUGUUGGCUAGGGGGGAGGGAGGAGGGGGUCCUUCAUGAGGCUGGGGGGGGGGGGGGGGGUAUGUGUCUGUGGGGGGUUGUCAGCCUACUGUGGGGGGGUACAUCUGUGGGGUCCUGUGAGCUGUGGUGAGGUGAGAGAGAGAGAGAGAGAGAGAGAGAGAGAGAGAGACCUCUCUCUCUAUCUCACCUCUCGAGUCUCUCACUCACUCUAUGAUCUAAUGUAUAUAGUUAUGCAUAUGUUGUAUAA